This 68-nucleotide transfer RNA is filed under the name Tenebrionoidea sp. 4 KM-2017. RNAcentral's name for it is "tRNA-Glu". The record is from RNAcentral. Lineage: Eukaryota; Metazoa; Arthropoda; Insecta; Coleoptera.
AUUUAUAUAGUUUAAAAUAAAACAUUACAUUUUCAUUGUAAAAUUAAUAAAUUUAUUAUUUAUAAAUA